GAAUAUUGGACAAUGGGGGGAACCCUGAUCCAGCCAUGCCGCGUGUGUGAAGAAGGCCUUUUGGUUGUAAAGCACUUUAAGCGAGGAUGAGGCUACUUAGAUUAAUACGCUAGGAUAGUGGACGUUACCCGCAGAACAAUCAUCCGCUAACUCUGUCCCGGCAGCCGCGGUAACACAGAGGGUGCAAGCGUUAAUCGGAUUUCAUGGGCGUAAAGCGCGCGUAGGUGGCCAAUUAAGUCAAAUGUGAAAUCCCCGAGCUUAACUUGGGAAUUGCAUUCGAUACUGGUUGGCUAGAGUAUGGGAGAGGAUGGUAGAAUUCCAGGUGUAGCGGUGAAAUGCGUAGAGAUCUGGAGGAAUACCGAUGGCGAAGGCAGCCAUCUGGCCUAAUACUGACACUGAGGUGCGAAAGCAUGGGGAGCAAACA
Molecule: ribosomal RNA, 424 nt
Filed under: uncultured bacterium
Lineage: Bacteria
Description: partial 16S ribosomal RNA
Rfam family: Bacterial small subunit ribosomal RNA
Source: RNAcentral